Molecule: non-coding RNA, 3576 nt
Organism: Rattus norvegicus (Norway rat)
Lineage: Eukaryota; Metazoa; Chordata; Mammalia; Rodentia; Muridae
Source: RefSeq, a predicted model, not a curated record
GCCUGCAGUUAGGGAGGACACAGGGGGAAAAUGUUACUCAGAGUUAACAUUUAAUAAAAGCAAAUGGCUGUUAUAAAUAAAUGCACAUAAUGAAACUGAGUGAUAAAGUUCUGGAAAGAAGAAAACCAAGGAUGAUUUGUAUCAUUUAAUCACUAAUUGUAUUUUCUUCCUAGCAAAUAUAUUUAGAGGAAAGCAACUUGACAAAUCAGACUAGGGACAAAGAGGGGAGAAAUGUUAAAUUUAAAAUAUUUAUUCUAAUGCAUAUGUGGGACACAUGCCUCCACUUGAAUAAAAACGUUGGCUGGUGGUAUAGUUUCGUGGUAGAGCACUUGCCUACUAUGCGCAAGAUCUUGAGUUUGAAAAAGAAAUUGAUUAGCUUUUCCAGUUCUUAACAUUUGCACAGAAUACAACUUCGCCUGGAUGCUAGAGAAGGGACAAGUAGAGGCAAGCGACAAGCUUGGGGAGGAAUUCUCUGCAUGACUGCUUGUAUCUCACCCUGCUGGAGGAGAUUGAUGACUAAUACACAUAACCACAGUGUAUCACGGGAAGCAGGUGUAACAGACAGACAGACAGACAGACAGACUUCUUUUUAUAGAUCUAUUGUUCCAUAGAAUAAAAGCAGGUUAUUACUGUUUAUAUGGCUUGAAGGUAAUAAGAUAAAGUAACUAUAAUAUUUUCGUAUUAUUCAGUACUAUAUGCCAGAAAUUAUGCUCAGAGUUUUACAGGAAUUAUUUCACUCACUCCCACAAUACCGCCUUUCAGUAAAUAUGGUCACAGACCCUGAUAGAAAAUGAGCAAAUCAAGGAGCUGAGAGAUGAAGGAGUACUGACCAGCUAAUGACCAAGCAGGCAACAGAGCAUUCAACACCAAGUCUGGCCGUAAAGCUGCCCUGCCUCAAGUUCCCGCAGUGACAGACUGAUUGUGACAUUGAAGUCUAAGAUGAAGGAACCCUUUCCUCCCCAUGCUGCUUUUGGUCAUGGUGUUUAUCACAGCCACCGAAAGCUUAACUAAGACAACUUUCUCUCUAUCAGGUAUGAUCCCAAGCAGUAGGGGAAAUGAAAAAGGAGACAAAUAACAUUCUCCCAAAACACUCUGUCCUUCCUGUACAGUGACAGUCACGUAGCACAAAAACGACCAUCUGUAUGCGCUUGUGUGGUGGAGGGAGUGUCAGGGUGAGGAAAGACUUACAAAAACCAAUGUGUCUCCAAGGUCACAGCAUUUACCUCUGCAGCCGCGAGCAAAAUAAAGUAGUCGCAUAUUAUGAUGUAGACUUGUUUUAUUGUAAACUUUUUGUUUGAGAUAGGGUCUAUAUAUGCAGCCCUGGCCGUCCUAGAACUCACUACACAGACCAGGCUGUCCUGGAGCUUACAGUGUUCUGCCUGCCUCUGCCUCCCAGGGGCGGGAAUAAAAGUAUACACCUUGGUUUAUUUUAUACUUUAGGGAAGUAGAAAAAGAAAACAUUUUCAUAAAAUUUAGAGAUCACUUGUCAUUUUCUUCUAAAUUUCGGAGAAAUUGCUUUAAAAUAAACGCUUUUAAAUGUUGCAUUAAGUAUGCAUGUGUGUACACAUGUGUGCACCUGUGUAUACACAUAGAUGUAGGUUACAUGUGUGUACAUGUGUGUAUACAUAUGUGUGUGUACACGCAUGUGUGUUUGUAGCGUGUGCAUGUGUGUAUACAUAUGUAUAUGUGCAUGUGUGUACUGUGCGUGUGGGUUGCCUGUGAACAUGGCGAGGCCAAGUGACGUCAGUUGUUCUUCUCUGUCGCUCCUUUAUUCCUGGGAAAGAUGGAUUUCCAGUUUUACCAAUGUGCUGGAGGCUGGAGUAAUCGUCCUGUCACCUCUGCCCUGCCCUUCCUUCUCCACACCCAGUGCUGGGACAACAGGCUCUGUCGCCAAGCCCGUUUUUAUGUAGGUGCUGGGGACCCAAACUCACGUUCUACAGUUGCAUAGUAACACCCUUUCCGCUUGAGCAUUCUCCCCAGCUCUGGUUUUUAAAAUGUAAUGAAUCAAACAUGACAGAAGAUAGGUAAUUAGAUGAUAAUGUGUGGCUCAAGAAAUAUUUUUCAUUUAGAACUUUUAAAACUCGUCAAAACUGAAAUUAUUAUAAGGACUUAGAGGGUUCCUACCUGGACUGUAGCUUUAGGGAUCCAUGAUAAAGCAAUAAAUACUUUCUCCAUAAAACGAAAGUUAGCAAAAGACAUCAGCACGAAAGUGGCUAAGAUUCGAACAAGCAGUGCCAAACACAGGGUAGCAAUGCACAUGCCUAGAACACACAUAAACACACAUAAACACAUGUAAAAAACAAAGCUGGUUUUGCCGAGAGAGGAGUCCUAAAACUUCUGAAAAUAUGUUCAGGCUCUUGCUUCUUUCCAUCUAGUUUUAGUUAAAAACAGUAACUAUAAAAAGUCUAAAGUAAGAACGGGGUGGUUGCUGUUGUGUGCCUGUGUGUGCAGGAGGUGUGCUGGGGUGUGCAUGUGCACUCACGCAGCCUGAGGUGAGUGGUGGUGUCUUCCUCCAUGGCGUCUUUGGGAGACUUAGUACUUACUAUCCCGGCAAGCCUCAGGGAUCCUCUGUCUCUCCUCCCACUGUGGCUGAGACUGCUUUUGGCAUGGGUGCUGGGAAAGGAUCAAACAUAGUCCUAAGGAUUGCAUGACUAGCAAUUUACCUGCCAAGCCAUCUCCGCAGCCUCUGUGAAGGCUGCUAUCUAAAGUAUUAGAUGAGGUCAUGGCGGGAGAACCAUGGCGGGGGCGAGACAUGACAUUCUGUUCAUUCGAUUUAUUUUGACUGGGAUCUAUUUAAUUGUGAACUAACGUUGCUGGGGACAUGUUUAGAGGAAUGCAGUCAGAAGCAUCUAACAGUGUCUAGUGUUUCCUGUGGUCUACUUCUUGGGAUCACUUGGGAGACAGAUGGGGUUGCCUUUGACUGAAAACAAAGACACGUACAAGGUGGAAAAAAGAGUAGAUGUGGCCAGUGUCAUCUUUGAAGGUCUUUAAAGCUACUCAGAGACAAAAAUAAAGCAUUUAUCAUGUAAAAAUCUUGUAUUUUCAACCUUCUGUCCUUAUGCAGACUUACCAAUAGUUUUCGAUUCAAGAGAUUCAACAGACACUUCUGUUCCAACUAAGCCAAAAAGAAGCGGCUGAAAAAUAUUCCAUGUGUUUGCAACAAGUUUUUGGACUCCAACCUAUGGGAAAGAGAAAUAAAAUGAAUGUGAGCUGGGUAGGCAAACUGUCAGUGGGUGAAGCCUGCCACAAAGCCUGACGACCUGAAUCUGAUCUCGGGACUCUCCCAUUGGAAAGGGACAGUGGCUUCUCUCGGACUCCACAGCAAAAUGCUUACCAGACUCUACCUGAAAAGUGAGGAAAACGGUCCCUCCAACAACUCUGAUGCAAGUCACCACAUUACGAGCUGAGGCAGGAAGAUGACAACUACGGAGUUCAAAGCCAGCCUCAGCUAUAGAGUGAGACUUUGUCUCAAAAUUGCCACCAACACUACCCAACCUGGUCUAAAACCUCUGUCAACAGGAAUGGAGGCACUUUUAAAUCAGAAAAUAUGGAAGAAUAAAUGGGAACUUAUCUGUU